CCGACGUGGGCACCCGGGUAAGCUGCUCUCUCCUGGCUCGGCCCGCGUGGCGCACGGGGGCGCAGGGCUCCGGGCUCCGUGACGCGCGGCCCCCUGCCACCGCGUUGGAGAACGAGCCGGGCCUCUGGUCUGCAGCCUGCAGAGUCCCGCUGCGUCUCUGAGUCCCCGGGCUGGGGCCAGGAGACAAACCGCGCGGGAGACACUG
Small nucleolar RNA from Chrysemys picta bellii (western painted turtle), 205 nucleotides. Its record names the gene SNORA73. It matches the Rfam family "Small nucleolar RNA SNORA73 family". Rfam says of the family: U17 (SNORA73A and SNORA73B) also known as E1 belongs to the H/ACA class of small nucleolar RNAs (snoRNAs). Vertebrate U17 is intron-encoded and ranges in length from 200-230 nucleotides, longer than most snoRNAs. The record is from Ensembl. NCBI's taxonomy places the organism in Eukaryota, Metazoa, Chordata, Testudines, Emydidae.